Non-coding RNA from Hydra vulgaris (swiftwater hydra), 360 nucleotides. The record is from RefSeq and is a predicted model, not a curated record. Lineage: Eukaryota; Metazoa; Cnidaria; Hydrozoa; Anthoathecata; Hydridae.
AGGAAAAUUUUUUCAAAGUAAUUAUAAGCAGAGUUUGUGUUCCCAAGGUUGCAUUCUUGGUAUACCUUGUCCCAUUGUUCUGCCGAUAAUUUUAUAUCUUGUGUCAAAGAGAAGAAAACAGGAAAAUGAUCAGAAAUGUCUGUCUUUAUUAUUCCUGCCUUUAGAGAAGUAUCAAAGAUUGAAUUAGUUAAUAUAUUGUCUAAUGCAGAGAUUGAAGUUGGAGUUACUCGGGUUGGUUUAUUAAUAAUUGGGAAGAUGUAAUAUUGAAGCAUUUCGUCAAAAAAAAGUUUAAUAUUGGCAUUUUUUUCAUAUUGUAAACAAUCUAUGUUUAUAUCACCAAUACAGAAUAUUUUUUUUUGC